UACAGAGGCCUCAACCGUUAAUCGGAAUUACUGGGCGUAAAGUGUGCGCAGGCGGCGCCGCAUGUCGAGUGUGAAAGCCCCGAGCUUAACUUGGGAAUUGCGCUCGAAACUACGGUGCUGGAGUGUGGCAGAGGAAGGUGGAAUUCCACGUGUAGCGGUGAAAUGCGUAGAGAUGUGGAGGAACACCGAUGGCGAAGGCAGCCUUCUGGGCCAACACUGACGCUCAUGCACGAAAGCGUGGGUAGCAAACAGG
RNAcentral lists this ribosomal RNA (253 nucleotides) under uncultured bacterium. RNAcentral describes it as "partial 16S ribosomal RNA". It matches the Rfam family "Bacterial small subunit ribosomal RNA", at positions 524 to 776 of the family's 1533-position model. The record is from RNAcentral.